Molecule: ribosomal RNA, 450 nt
Filed under: uncultured bacterium
Lineage: Bacteria
Description: partial 16S ribosomal RNA
Rfam family: Bacterial small subunit ribosomal RNA
Source: RNAcentral
CCUACGGGGGGCUGCAGUGGGGAAUUUUGGACAAUGGGGGCAACCCUGAUCCAGCCAUGCCGCGUGCGGGAAGAAGGCCUUCGGGUUGUAAACCGCUUUUAGCCGGGAAGAAAAGGCGAGGGAUAACACCCUUCGUUCUUGACGGUACCGGCGGAAUAAGCACCGGCUAACUACGUGCCAGCAGCCGCGGUACUACGUAGGGUGCGAGCGUUAAUCGGAAUUACUGGGCGUAAAGCGUGCGCAGGCAUGUGAAAGCCCCGGGCUCAACUCGGGAAUGGCAGUGGAUACGGGCGGGCUUGAGUGUGGCAGAGGGGGGUGGAAGUCCGCGUGUAGCAGUGAAAUGCGUAGAGAUGCGGAGGAACACCGAUGGCGAAGGCAGCCCGCUGGGCUGACACUGACGCUCAGGCACGAAAGCGUGGGGAGCAAACAGGAUUAGAUACCCGAGUAGUC